UUUAUUCCAGAUGCCAUCGUUUUGUGCCGAUUAAGGGAAAAUGGCUGCGAACACCAAACACCGUAGUGUGGUUGUUGGAUUGGGGAUACUAAUUUGCCGCGAAUGAACACCUAUUGAUAGCAGUCAUUGCUGAACAGGUUCUAAUACAUUGUUUAAAGUACUCUGGAAGAUUCCGUACAUGGAUGUUCGUUAUCCGGGGGAAAUACGCUAUUCAGGGCUUUUAUUAUCGGCUUCCGGGAAUCACCAUCAAUGGACCCUGAACGAACAGCAUCUAUUGCUUCGUAGGUGAAAGAAAAAAAA
This is a long non-coding RNA of Aedes aegypti (yellow fever mosquito), 300 nucleotides long. RefSeq lists it as uncharacterized. The record is from RefSeq and is a predicted model, not a curated record. NCBI's taxonomy places the organism in Eukaryota, Metazoa, Arthropoda, Insecta, Diptera, Culicidae. The transcript is spliced from 2 exons.